Molecule: long non-coding RNA, 1341 nt
Filed under: Junco hyemalis (dark-eyed junco)
Lineage: Eukaryota; Metazoa; Chordata; Aves; Passeriformes; Passerellidae
Description: lncRNA (ENSJHYG00000009500.1)
Source: RNAcentral
GGAAAGGGAGGGCUGAAACCCAGGAGGGGGAGCUGGGAGAAGGACUCUGGCUUGUCUCCUUUGGGGAAGAGUGAAGAGGAAUUUGGGUGGCACCUGGAGUCUCGGGUUUGUGGUGCUGAAAUGGCUCCUGAGUCACUGGAGCUGCUCACACACCGGAUCCUCCUGCCAGAGGAAAAUGAUGCUCCUGCUGCCCACCUGGAGUCAGAGGUGCCUGCAACAACAUCCUGCCCCAUCACUGCAGGGAAGUGGGAUGCUGUGAGAGCAUCACCUGGCCGGGCAUGGCAGGAUGGAUGUCCAGGAUCACAAACUCUCUGGGAGAGAAACCAAGCUGCCACAAACACCAAUUUUUACUGCUACAAAUGUCCUUCUCCUUUCCCUCCCAGAGCAGGACAAGAUGGACCAGUGACCCAGGAGCAGGGGAUGGGGCACUGGGGAGGCUCUCACUGAGGCAGCCACAGAGCUGGAACGCUGGCUGGAGAGUGGAAAUUCCCACUGGGACAAAGUGAACAUGAUGGAUGGCACUCCCAUUGCCCAUCCCCACAGCUCACCUCCUCCCAUCUCUCUUCACUUAGCUCUUUCUCCUUAUCCUUUGUUUUAUUAAGGUUUAAGAUUUUUUUUGGUGGCUAAAGAUAUUCUGUCCCUUUUUGGGUACAGAAUCACCCAGAGAGACCCGGUUUACACCAAGGCCAAACACAGCCCUGCCCAUCCCCACCCUGCAGCCUCCACGGAGGUGCACAUCCCAAAUUCCAGCCUGAAGAUGCCCCUGAAGCCGGGCUGCUCAGAGGGUGAGGGGCUGGAGGGGGGGUCCUGCCGCCUCUCCCGGCUCCCACAAGGUGGCAGAUCUCCAUAAUUGUUUUAUCCUGCUCAGAAGCCCACCGGCAGCAGCUGCUCUGCCUGGAGGGCAGCUGAGCCCCAGCGAGCUGUUUUCCAUCAAUAAGAUGGUUCUUUUGCUCAUGUAAACUGUGGGGGUUUUUUUUAUGAAAUGAAAUGAAUAUGCCUGUAUAAAUUAUCAAAAAGCAGCACAAAAAUAUCUAGGACGAGGCAGAGUGAAAUCCUGGCUGGGUGAUUGCAGAGUUCAGAGCAGACACGUGGCAAAGCAGGAGGAUGCCGGCGAGGCAGAAACCCAGGAGGGAGCAGAGAGGUUGUUCAACAAGGUUCAGAAGGUGGGGAGGAGAUUUAGAGAUUAGGCCAGAUCAAAAGGAUAAUUAUUUUUGUUACAUUUCCCUAUCUGCAUCACUCCACCGGUUCUGCCAGCGGCCGAGAGCCCAGGUUGAUUCUCGAGUUUCCUGGUGUAAGGAACAUGUCUCUAAAGCCUCAGCAAUAAAUUCCAACCUUUCAUCA